UGUGCAGAGCUCGCUCAAAGCGGCCGGACAGGAUCCGGGACCCGCGCGGCCUGGGCUAACGUGGUGCGCCGGGACCUAAAACCGCCCGCUCAAGGCGAGAUCGCCCCCGGCCGUUUCCUCCCUCAUUCUAGUUAGGGCCGGGCGGGGAGCGCUUCCCAAGGGGCUCUUUGCGGCGUGCUCACUGCUCCGACCGCUUCCCCGUCUUCGAAGGGCCGGGGACACAUGGCGUCAGCAUUUCGGGGGAGUGAGAAGCAAGCAAGGAGAGCCGGGAAUGGAGCGCUCCGUGACUGAGAGCCCAUUUUCCCGGCUAUUCCCUCAAGCAACGUUUGCUGCACUGCACCCCCUCCCCUCCUUAGAAUCCCAGCCUCCUGCUGCAGUUUCCGAUCCUCCGCCGGAUUCUGCCCCUACGCCGCCGCCGCCGCCGCCGCCGCCAUCCGCGCGCGCAGGCGCAGACACCCCCUUUUCUGGGGCCCAGCUUGCUUUCUCAGAACUUCCCGGUACAUCAGUGUAACUAAAAGGCUGUGUAUCCCCAGCCUAGAGACACUCGUCUGAGACGGUUUGGUGAGGUUAAAAUUUAUCAUGUGACAUUGAGACCGGCUGCUGAGAACCUUGUACACCUCAGUUCAUGGUGUUGACCUGGUGUGUUAGUACUGUACCCUGUACCCACUCCUCAGAAAGGAGGCGCUGGAAUCGAAGAAGGAUACGCCGAGAUAACCUUUUAGUGCAAAGGUCCUCAGCCUUGACUGUAUUAUUGCUAUUACUCCUGGGUGCAGCCCCAGCAAAAGAAUUUUUUAAAGCUCCUGUGUAAUUCUAACGCUAGGGUUGAGAGCCACUGCUUUAACCCCUAGGCAGGUAGGUGGGGCUUGGGGUGGCCCUAAACACUGAGUCAGUCACCUCCAUCUGGGGCAGCCUUUAUCCCAGUGCGCUGCUCAAAUUUUCUGUGUUCCAUGCUGUGAAAACAGGAGCAGUGCCCUACAGAAACGAGCAUGUCUGACAGCCUUGUGUAAGAUAAUUGGAAAAGAGGGGAAACAAACCGAACAAAGCCAACUAUUAAUAUAAUAGAAAACAUACAAUAACCUAGGGAUGAGGUAAGGAAAGCCUGGGCAAGACUAGUGACAGGGAAUAUAGAGGGGGACAGCUAUGAUAGUCACAGGAAGAAUGCUGGGAUGUGGUGGCCAACUAGAUCGCAGUUUUUGGCAAGCUGUGGCAUUUUUAAUGUCACAAGAACUGAUUCCGCUAACAUGUCCUUCCUGACUCCCAGAGGAGAGUUGCCAGAAUUGCUAUGGUCUUUCUAGAAUCCUCAAGACCACGAAUGGCCCAGGGUCUGGACCAGUCUCAGGAGCUAGCAGACAGAACAGCAGUGCGUUCAUCCUGUUACAAGAGCUUCUGCUUUAUGGGGGCCAGAGGACGUUUAUACACAGCAGCAGCUGCACUCCCGGAAAUGAUUCCCACACAAAAAAUUCAACAGGGAAAAUAAUAAGUUCUGUGCAUUGCCAUGAAGAUGCUCAUUACAGCAUUAUCUGUACUAAUUACACAUUUCAAAAGUAAAGGAAAUGAAUAAAAUAUAUUUUAAAGAUAA
Lemur catta (Ring-tailed lemur) is the source of this 1579-nucleotide long non-coding RNA. RefSeq lists it as uncharacterized. NCBI's taxonomy places the organism in Eukaryota, Metazoa, Chordata, Mammalia, Primates, Lemuridae. The transcript is spliced from 2 exons. The record is from RefSeq and is a predicted model, not a curated record.